UGACAGGUGGUGCAUGGUUGUCGUCAGCUCGUGUCGUGAGAUGUUGGGUUAAGUCCCGCAACGAGCGCAACCCUCGACCUUAGUUGCCAGCAUUCAGUUGGGCACUCUAAGGUGACUGCCGGCUAAAAGUCGGAGGAAGGUGGGGAUGACGUCAAAUCAUCAUGCCCCUUAUGACCUGGGCUACACACGUGCUACAAUGAGCGGUACAAAGGGUCGCGAACCCGCGAGGGGGAGCCAAUCCCAAAAAGCCGCUCUCAGUUCGGAUUGCAGGCUGCAACUCGCCUGCAUGAAGCCGGAAUCGCUAGUAAUCGCGGAUCAGCAUGCCGCGGUGAAUACGUUCCCGGGCCUU
RNAcentral lists this ribosomal RNA (349 nucleotides) under uncultured Anoxybacillus sp. RNAcentral describes it as "bacterial SSU rRNA". It matches the Rfam family "Bacterial small subunit ribosomal RNA", at positions 1032 to 1382 of the family's 1533-position model. The record is from RNAcentral. Lineage: Bacteria; Bacillati; Bacillota; Bacilli; Caryophanales; Anoxybacillaceae.